RNAcentral lists this ribosomal RNA (465 nucleotides) under uncultured bacterium. RNAcentral's name for it is "partial 16S ribosomal RNA". It matches the Rfam family "Bacterial small subunit ribosomal RNA", at positions 338 to 795 of the family's 1533-position model. The record is from RNAcentral.
CCUACGGGAGGCAGCAGUGGGGAAUAUUGCGCAAUGGGCGAAAGCCUGACGCAGCGACGCCGCGUGAGGGAUGAAGGUCUUCGGAUCGUAAACCUCUGUCAGCAGGGAAGAACGGUCACUGUGCUAAUCAGCAGUGAAUUGACGGUACCUGCAAAGGAAGCACCGGCUAACUCCGUGCCAGCGGCCGCGGUAAUACGGAGGGUGCGAGCGUUAAUCGGAAUUAUUGGGCGUAAAGCGCUCGUAGGCGGCAUGUCAAGUCAAGGGUGAAAUCCCCGCGCUCAACGUGGGCCUUGCCUUGGAAACUGGCGAACUGGAGUGUGCGGGAGGAUAGCGGAAUUCCAGGUGUAGGAGUGAAAUCCUGAGAUAUGUGGAGGAACACCAGUGGCGAAGGCGACUUGCUGCAACAGAACUGACGCUGAGGAUCGAAAGCGUGGGUAUCAAACAGGAUUAGAUACCCUAGUAGUC